AUACUUACCUGGCAGGGGAGACACCAUGAUCAGGCAGGUGGUUUUCCUGGGGCGAGGCUCAUCCCUUGCACUCCGGGUGUGCUGACCCCAUACAAUCAGUAAGAAGAUUGCACAGUUUAGC
Molecule: small nuclear RNA, 121 nt
Filed under: Nestor notabilis (Kea)
Lineage: Eukaryota; Metazoa; Chordata; Aves; Psittaciformes; Psittacidae
Description: U1 spliceosomal RNA
Rfam family: U1 spliceosomal RNA
About the family: U1 is a small nuclear RNA (snRNA) component of the spliceosome (involved in pre-mRNA splicing). Its 5' end forms complementary base pairs with the 5' splice junction, thus defining the 5' donor site of an intron. There are significant differences in sequence and secondary structure between metazoan and yeast U1 snRNAs, the latter being much longer (568 nucleotides as compared to 164 nucleotides in human).
Source: Rfam by way of RNAcentral